UGGUCGGCUUUUACAUUGAAG
This 21-nucleotide unclassified non-coding RNA is filed under the name Dictyostelium discoideum. The record is from RNAcentral. Lineage: Eukaryota; Evosea; Eumycetozoa; Dictyosteliales; Dictyosteliaceae.